GUUCCUGUCAACACCCUGUCCCAGGGGCAAAGGAACAGGACAUUGAAACAUUCACUCAAAGUGAACUUGAACAGAGAGGAGCUGAGUUUUCGCACAUUCUGAGACUGCGAGAGAAGGUACAGUCCCCAAAAUCGGCGACGCCAUUUGAGUAAUUUGAUAUCAGUCCGCCCACUCCUAAUCUGGACUCUUAGUCGGAACUCCGCAGCUUUACAACUCUACGUAGACAGAAGAAGUGAGAACAGGAACGUGUGGAUUUAAUUAAUACUCACCACCACCGUACCGCACCACAAAAUCAUGGCUUCUGGAGGAUCUCUCUUUCUCUGCUGGACUCUGCUGUCAGUCUGUCAGAUGGUUUCUUCUUCUGCAGGUGAGUUCAGCUCUACAUUAUUCAGCUCGAUGUCGGCAGUCAUUAUUUUUAUAGCGUCACUAACCAUAUAAGUUGUCUCAAAACGCUUUACAAAACCUGUAAUAUCCUGGCUAGAUUUUGCCACUUCUCUCAAAGCCGAAUGACGUAGAGACAGGCACAUUGGAUCAGUGGGUAAAACAUCCACUCAACAGACUGAUUAAACUUCAGAUUUUGUUUCUAGCCCACAUAUUUAAUUUUAUGCCAUGUUAUGUUUGUUUUUGUGGGGAGCUGUGGUAAGAAAAGCAGGUUAACCGGCUCCUUGAGCCAGCACCCAAUCCACAACACAGCACAUGGCUCCCAGGGCGCGGUCCUUGAAAGCUGCAGCCGCUGUGUGAACGACUGGAUGGGUCGGAACCUUCUUCCUGUGACGGUCGGUGCUAAUCACCACGUCACUGGGCCAGCUGAAGGUUGAAAUUGUGGUAUUAUAAUAAAAUACGGCUAACAUUGUACACUGAUCCAUUUGAUUUGAAUUCAAUUGAUAUUUAAUCAGUUAUUAAAACCGGAAAUUUAAACCUUCCUACAUUUGCUUUAAUAGGUAUUCUGUGGCACUGAAACCUCCAGAGCUAGAACAACCAACAGUGUCAAGAAAGAAAAAAAAACUUUAACAGGGGAAAAAAAACCUAGAGACAGAACCUGAACCUGAACCUGAACCAGAACUAGAACCAGAACCCAGCUCACAGGGAGGGACCCAUCUGCCUAAGGCUGGGUACAGACAGAAAUGAGAAAGAAGACAACAGCAGGAGAAACAAGAUAAACAUCCAUCUGACAUACAUCUGCGUAUAGUAGAAUCUUGAAUUAUUUAUUUUAAUUUAGAAUAAGUGUAAUUUCUCCACCAAUGUUUGUUUACAUUUUUUGUUUACACCAUAGGCCCUUGAGGAAAAUUGAUGUUUCUGUAUCACUGCAUAUGAACAUUAUGUCUAAAUCUACAUUUAUCAUGGUUUGUCCACAUUCUCUGCUCCUAGUGUCUCAUUAGUCUGGAACACAUUUAGAAUCUAUAGUCAGUGUCUAGUAUUGAAAUAACAAAUGAAUGAACUGACUGCUGCAUGUUGACCUUUAACCUCUCUGCUCUGUGUUGUUUCCUUCAGAACCAAGAAUCAUCACAGCUGAAUCUGGACAGACUGUCUCUCUACCAUGUAAAGCUCUGAAGAAUGGACCUGUCACAGUUGUUGACUGGAGCAGAACCGACGUACAGCCAGAAAAAUGUCUCUUUUUAUAUCGAGGUGAUAGGUUAUGUACAGACAACCAGUAUCCAUCUUAUAAGGACCGAGUGGAUCUACAGGACAGACAGAUGAAGGAUGGAGACGUGUCUCUGAUUCUGAACAAUGUGACGACUGAUGACAGUGGAACAUACACGUGUCAUGUUCAGACUAAAACAAAGCGCAGGAAGAGAGAUGCUGAUCCCAUCACCACCAUCAAACUGCACAUAGAUCCAGGUCACACAUCUGGACACAAGGAGGACGGAGGAGACAAGGAGGGACUAAGUCGAGGACAUCCUGGUCUGAUAGUUGGUGGUGUUGUUGUGAGUCUUGUCGUGGCUGUUUUUCUGAUCACUGUAAGAAACAGGAAGAAGAAAUCUUCACCUCCCUCCUCAUCCUCCUCUCCUCCUCUUCAAUCAUCUGAUCAGCUCCUGGCCUGAAGCAGCCUGGCAGCUAUUGGGCCUGACCUCAGGAAAGGGCCAGAAAAUUCGACCAAAGAAAGUCCUAAAAAGACUCUCUUUCUUAUCAUUCACACCGAGGUGUGAAAUCCAAUGUAGUCAAAUCCUUGGCUCUCACUGGAUGUGCCCACGGGAUGUCCUGCUCGGGUGAGUAUCUGGUGCAUCCAGAUGACGUCACGAUGUACAGCAGGCAUCACCAAAUGGCAGACCCCGGUCCGGGCACGGAUCCAGUGACAUUUCUGCCGGGCCCCGUUAAAGUUCUAAACUGUGUGUGGUUGAACACUGGGAAGUUGCGCUUUCUAGAAAAAAAGCUGCCAUUAUGGUAAUGAUGACGCACCGCUGCUCAUAGAUUGAACCCAAAUUCUGUCGUUUUGUUACUUUAUGUUUUAUAAUAUAUUUUUAUAUCAUUGUAUGUAUUGUAUGUAUAAAAAUGAUAUAUGGAAAACUUUAGCUAUCUCUUCCAAACAUCUCAUCUCAUCUUCUAUUAUGGCUUAUCCUCACUUGGGUCGCAGGAGUUGCUUAAGCCUAUCCCAGCUAAUUAGAUGACAGCUAAUUAGCCAAUUAACCAUAAUAAAAGCAAAACAGACAAAAACAGGAAAAUAAUUACACAUAAAAGAACAGAACAGGAGACUCUCUCAGCCAGAGGCCACACAUAUUUUGUUGUUGGUUGUCCACUUUUCAAAAGUGCUAGAAAAGUUGUGUGUUCAAAAAACUAGACAAUUUCAUCGAAAAACAUAAGUUAUUAAGCAAGAGUAAAUAUGCUUCGGACAAAUCGGUCAACUGCUUUGGCAAUAAUGGAAAUAAUAGAAGAAAUCAGAACAGCAACCGACAGAAGGAAAUAUACAAUAGGAGUAUUCAAUGACUUAAAGAAGACUCAUUUGAUACAAUAGAUGACUCAAUUUUUAAUUGCUAAGUUAAGAAUAAUUGUGGUGUGAGAGGAGUUGGUUAACUAGUAAACUGGCUAACUAGCUAUUUAUAUAAUAGGCAACAAUAUGUGUAUUUUGCUGGUAAUACAUCUGAAUGUUUUUAUUUUAUAUUUCAAUGACAUUUGUUAAAUUUCUAAAUUGUUGUGGUUCGUUUUGUUUGCAGAUGGCACAAAUUUCUUCUGUUCAGGAGAUAACAUAAAACCAUACAUGAGCAAUGUAAUACCUUUGUUCUUAUUGAAGAAAAGAACAAUCUGAAUUGUCCACAAAGUUAAAUUUGGAGAACAAUAAUUUAUUUAUUACAUCAGGGUUAUUGAAACUUACAGAGAUAAUAGAACUUGAGACAUUGUUAAUUAUGCUCAAAGGCAAAAUUACCAGAAAACCUGCAAAAGCUAUUUGUGUUUACUUCAGAAGAUAAAACUCAUAGAAGAAGAUUCGAUUUUAAGCACCAAGUUGCUAAAACUACUUUAAAACAGAUGUGUAUUUUGGUUGUUGGAGUAAAAAUAUGGAACCCCCGAAUUCAGGAGUUAAAAGGUUGCUCAAAUAUUGACUAAUUUUAAAAUUAAGUAAAAUGUAUAAGUGUAUAAAUGCUGAAACAAUUGUCAAUAUGCACUUGAAAGUUAAACUGGAUGUUAACAAUAAAUAUUUUUGAGUUUGUAAAUUUGUACUUUGUAAGCUAUUUUUUAUUUGAUAUGUUUUGUUUAUUUGUGUUGUUGAUGUAGUAGGCUACUGAAAAUCAACUUUACAUGAUGUCAGACCAUUUUUUUCUUUUUUUAAUUGUUCAAGUAGGAGUCAGAUACAGAAAUACUUUCUUCUUGCUGCUCCUUUCCAGUUAAGUAGAUUUCAAAAUGUAGUGUGCAGUUAUGUACAAAUUCUGUUGUCCACUUUCAUGAAAGGAAUAAAUAAAUAUAAAUGAUUCCUCUCGGGUAGUAUAAGCGUGUACCCUUGUGGUGUAUGGUUUGCUGGGAAUGCAGAAGGUCUCUCAGCUCAACCAGUCACACAACAACAACAACAACAACACAACAGUUUUCCAGGUAACGUCAGGUCAACAACCUGCAACACAAAGGUCUAAAAUAGUCCAGCAGCCUCUCAUCAUGUGAUUGACCUGAUGCUACUCUGGCCUCAGGGCGUCAGCAGCUUAAAGCUGGAUCUCAGAAAUCAGACCCUGGAAACUCUAAUAUUUAGUCACAUUCUGGUGGGAUUCAGGGGGUUUCACUGCAGUCAGUCUGAAGCACUUUUUAAAAAAACGUUUCCAUCGUCAUCAACACCUCCCCCUCAGUCUGAACCAGGAAGAACAGAGCUGUUCCUCUUUAACACAGUCAGUUCUGAAAAUAAAAGAUGAUCUGACCAUGAGUAAUGUGGGAGGAGCAGAAAGGCGUGGAGGCGUGGUUUAGUAGCUGACGUAGCUAGUUAUUUCAUUCACCGGUAUUCAGAUCUACACCAGUAGCAGUAACGCACCAAUUCGCAAAGGAACAGCAAGAGAAGAAGAAAGUCCACACCGGUUGUCUCGUGGAUCCGUGCCGUCAUUCCCUGAGUUAUGUCCGUGGGUUCUCUCGGUGAGAAGCUGAUCGGCCGCAGACCACGCGGACCUGGCGCGUGGAGGGGGAGAGAAACCCCACGGAUGUCCGACAGCCCCCGGUCUCUGGGAACCCCUGAAACCCCUGAAACCCCUCCAAGAACCAGAGGCAGUGAGCAGUACCAUGACUGUUAUUUGGAAUGUGGAGUACUUAAAGGUCCUACAGAACUUGAACGCACCUAGAGCGAGAGCCCGGAUGUAAACAACGGCCGAAAAACUUAUUUCUGCUCUAUCGUCCGCUGUGAUGUCCACUUCAUCCUUCACCAUCAGCCCCAUGCUCCUCCUCCUCAUCAGCAUGUGUCUGUCUGAAGCUUCCAGAGACAAGGAGGAGGUCAAAGUGAAGUCUGGACAGGAUGUCACUCUUCUGUGUCGGCUCCCGACGGCUACAGCCAUCACCCUGUUCUCGUGGACCCGACCCGACCUAAAGGCCGACGGUUACGUCUUCUUCUACCGCAACAACCGCUCAUAUGAAAACUACCAGCAUCCACGGUUCAGAGGCCGAGUGGAGCUGAGAGAGGAGGCGGCCGUGAAGGACAGAGACGUUUCUGUGAUUGUGCGUAACGUCAGCGUCGGCGAUACCGGGACGUACGACUGCACGUGAUAAGCGGCGAGACGAGGAGCAGUGAUGGACGCUACAUACACCAGUACAAGCAAGUCACCAACCUCAACGUCACAGCCUCGGAUGGAGACACGGAGGACGCAAGAGACGAGGACGCAGGAGACAAGAGUGAAUACGGUGCAGUCAUAGUUGCUGUGUCCGUCAUUGCAGUGGUUCUUGUUGUCAUUGCUGCUGUUGGUUGCAUAAUGAUUUGUAGAAAGUAUAAAACUUUCUCAAAAUACAGCGUGUAGAUGCAGUAUCUGAGAAGUGUCUCUUUACUCCUGAGUGUGUUUGUUUGUUCUGCUGCUGUUUCUCAAAGAUGAAGGCGUCUUCAACCAGAGUCAGAUUCCAGAUUGUUCUAGAGAUGCAUGGACCAAAUCAAGCUUCAAAUGACCUGUUAGUGGAAAAUAACACAAAACAGGAAUCAGCUGAUCACCUCACGCCAUCAGGAUUCAAUAUAAUUAUCUCAUGUUUAACUUGCAAAGGUCAGUGCUCUGGCUAGAAUCCCUUUCUAAUCGGUGUUGGUGCAGUGUUUUCUGUGUCCAGCUACAACUUUGCUGUUUUAUCUCUGUUCUUGUGACUUCCUUCAAGCAGACAGUUAUCACAGGCGAUCUUUAAAAAGCCUGAGGACUCUUUUGAGGAGCUGGUGGAGACCAGACACAGAGCUUUAAAAAGAGUUGGACCAACUACAGCCUGCAGAAUCUAACAGGCGAUAUGUUGGUGUUUUUUAUUUUGUGUUGGGUGCUGUAUUCAGAGUGUGUCAUGAAGAGGAAACCUCAGUUCAUUAGAGUAAAGUCAGGACAGGAAGGAGUGAGGGCAGCUUUACAGACACAGGUGACAGCUUACAGUAGCAUGGCUAGCACGUUCACUGUAAAACUGCACUUUAUUUUUCACUAAGCUCCGUUUGCUUCUUUGCACAAACUGCAGCCAAUCAGAGCCCUCCUGCUUGUCUCGUUUCCACGUUUUUCCUUUCUGCUGCUGUUCAGUCCAGCUAAGAGAAAAGGACACUUUAUUAAGAAAUAUAACAUAUAAUAUAGUAACUUACUAUCAGGACUAUAAAUAAUACGAGUGUUACGUGAGCGUUUAAAUGAGUGUUAAAUAUGGUUUGAUAACCGUGUCAUAGUGUCUUUAUAUAUGUUUUUAUUGUGCCAGGCACUUUUUGUUCUUGGGACUUGAGCUCUGACCCUCUGUGGUUUAUCAUUGUCUUUAUCUAAUCUUCCAGUUUCACACGCACUUCAUUGCCUCGAGAGUUGAGCUGGUCUCAAAGGACUCACAGUGAAUGUGAAAGUAAAGCAGCUGAACUUCUAAAACAAGGAAAGAAAUAACACAUUGGCCAGGUGAAACGCAGCAGAACAGCAGCACUUUGUCACUUUAAUUUAAAAUAAAUAAGCUUUGUUGCA
Mugil cephalus (flathead mullet) is the source of this 6557-nucleotide RNA transcript. It is a transcript of the gene named coxsackievirus and adenovirus receptor-like, with no coding region annotated. The transcript is spliced from 7 exons. NCBI's taxonomy places the organism in Eukaryota, Metazoa, Chordata, Actinopteri, Mugiliformes, Mugilidae. The record is from RefSeq and is a predicted model, not a curated record.